CAGUAGCCACGGGAAUACAGAGGGUGCGAGCGUUAAUCGGAUUUACUGGGCGUAAAGCGUGCGUAGGCGGCUUUUUAAGUCGGAUGUGAAAUCCCUGAGCUUAACUUAGGAAUUGCAUUCGAUACUGGGAAGCUAGAGUAUGGGAGAGGAUGGUAGAAUUCCAGGUGUAGCGGUGAAAUGCGUAGAGAUCUGGAGGAAUACCGAUGGCGAAGGCAGCCAUCUGGCCUAAUACUGACGCUGAGGUACGAAAGCAUGGGGAGCAAACAGGAUUAGAUACCCCGGUAGUCCCUGUCUCUUAUAC
RNAcentral lists this ribosomal RNA (301 nucleotides) under uncultured bacterium. RNAcentral's name for it is "partial 16S ribosomal RNA". It matches the Rfam family "Bacterial small subunit ribosomal RNA", at positions 509 to 807 of the family's 1533-position model. The record is from RNAcentral.